CAGUCGCCGCGGUAAUACGUAGGUGACGAGCGUUGUCCGGAAUUAUUAGGCGUAAAGGGAGCGCAGGCGGACAUAUAAGUCCAUCUUAAAAGUGCGGGGCUCAACCCCGUGAGGGGAUGGAAACUGUAUGCCUUGAGUGCAGGAGAGGAAAGCGGAAUUCCCAGUGUAGCGGUGAAAUGCGUAGAUAUUGGGAGGAACACCAGUGGCGAAGGCGGCUUUCUGGACUGUAACUGACGUUGAGGCUCGAAAGCCAGGGGAGCGAACGGGAUUAGAUACCCCCGUAGUCCCUGUCUCUUAUACA
Molecule: ribosomal RNA, 301 nt
Filed under: uncultured bacterium
Lineage: Bacteria
Description: partial 16S ribosomal RNA
Rfam family: Bacterial small subunit ribosomal RNA
Source: RNAcentral